Molecule: ribosomal RNA, 590 nt
Filed under: uncultured bacterium
Lineage: Bacteria
Description: bacterial SSU rRNA
Rfam family: Bacterial small subunit ribosomal RNA
Source: RNAcentral
ACGGGUGAGUAAUAUAUCGGAACGUACCCUGGAGUGGGGGAUAACGUAGCGAAAGUUACGCUAAUACCGCAUACGAUCUAAGGAUGGAAGCAGGGGACCGCAAGGCCUUGUGCUCCUGGAGCGGCCGAUAUCUGAUUAGCUAGUUGGUAGGGUAAAAGCCUACCAAGGCAUCGAUCAGUAGCUGGUCUGAGAGGACGACCAGCCACACUGGAACUGAGACACGGUCCAGACUCCUACGGGAGGCAGCAGUGGGGAAUUUUGGACAAUGGGCGCAAGCCUGAUCCAGCAAUGCCGCGUGAGUGAAGAAGGCCUUCGGGUUGUAAAGCUCUUUUGUCAGGGAAGAAACGGUGAGGGCUAAUAUCCUUUGCUAAUGACGGUACCUGAAGAAUAAGCACCGGCUAACUACGUGCCAGCAGCCGCGGUAAUACGUAGGGUGCAAGCGUUAAUCGGAAUUACUGGGCGUAAAGCGUGCGCAGACGGUUUUGUAAGUUUGUCGUGAAAUCCCCGGGCUCAACCUGGGAAUGGCGAUGAAGACUGCAAGGCUAGAAUCUGGCAGAGGGGGGUAGAAUUCCACGUGUAGCAGUGAAAUG